This is a long non-coding RNA of Mytilus californianus (California mussel), 559 nucleotides long. RefSeq lists it as uncharacterized. NCBI's taxonomy places the organism in Eukaryota, Metazoa, Mollusca, Bivalvia, Mytilida, Mytilidae. The record is from RefSeq and is a predicted model, not a curated record. The transcript is spliced from 3 exons.
UAGAUGCGGAUUUCCUAUUAAUUCGUUUGAAUAACAAAAUUCCUUCCGGAAGUGUCUUGUUUUAAUCCAAUUUCCCUGAAAAUUAUUUCACGAAAUUUUCACUGAGUUUAAAACGUUUUGUUAACCUACUUUUGAUCUUCCUUUGAUUGAAAGAACUUAAUUGGAUUGGAAUAACUUUUACCAAUUGUGGUACUUGUGCCUGCCAUGUAGUAAUGGUUUCAUUUUGAUUAGAGCUAAGCUUGCGCGCGCUCAGCAAGCAAAGAUCUGUUGGAAAUGUAAGAAGAAAUUUAACUGGCGUAGUUUUAAUGUAGGCUACCAGCAAUAUCAGUAAAAAAGUGUCAUCAUUUCCUGCUUCCCAGACAACUACUGACUGUCCAGUGGCUCUGUCGAACUGUUUAAGAAAUCCAUGCGAUGGAGCACCAUGUCCUUUGAGGAGAGCAGCAACCUGCGUCCCUAACUACUGUGGCGGAUGUUAUGACACUUGGUAUGAAAAUGGGAAACGAGUUUACUGUUGGGGACCAUGAUGGUUUGAAUGAGUGAAUAAAGUAGUUGCUGUAUU